AGUCAAUGCAAAAUUUAAAAACUCAUCAAGUCUACUUAACUGACUGCAGGGAGAACAGUAGCAAUCAAGCAAUUCAACACGAUGGACUACAGGACAGGGCUGCUUCUCUUUACUCUCUACUGGGCAGGUGUCAAUGGUCAGACUCUGACAGAAUCUGAACCAGUUACUAAAAGGCCUGGAGAGUCCCACAGAUUGACCUGCACAGUCUCUGGAUUCACACUCAGAAGCUACGCUAUGGCCUGGGUUAGACAGGCUCCUGGAAGAGCACUGGAGUGGAUUGCUUUGAUAGGCACUUAUAGUUCUCCUAUCAGUUACUCCCAGUCAGUCCAGGGUAGAUUCACCAUCUCCAGAGAUGACUCCAGCAGUAAAAUCUAUCUACAGAUGAACAGCUUGAAAACUGAGGACACAGCAGUUUAUUACUGUGCCCGAUGAAGCACAGUGAGAGACA
This is a non-coding RNA of Oreochromis aureus, 448 nucleotides long. The record is from the annotation of a RefSeq genome assembly. NCBI's taxonomy places the organism in Eukaryota, Metazoa, Chordata, Actinopteri, Cichliformes, Cichlidae.